Long non-coding RNA from Acanthaster planci (crown-of-thorns starfish), 3927 nucleotides. NCBI's taxonomy places the organism in Eukaryota, Metazoa, Echinodermata, Asteroidea, Valvatida, Acanthasteridae. The record is from RefSeq and is a predicted model, not a curated record.
ACAACGACACCCCCAGUCGCCAACAGCUACAAGUCAGCAUUGCUGACGAGAUCGUGAUAUAUGCAAGCAACUAGAGAUUUCGACACAAUCAAGACAAUUCCUAGACCCUGCCACCAGACCUUUCACCCCAACAGUGUCACUGCAGUCAAUUGGCUCUGCCGCCGAGACCCCACCGGUUAUGGAGUCAACCCAAGACUACGGAAAAGGCUUGAGAGCGCAGAGGGACCCAAAGGCCCCCUGCACCUACUGCACCGCGUCGAAAUCCCCCAGGCAUCGCAGACUGCCCCAGAGAUAUCUUUCUUUAAGUGUGUAGGGAUGUUGUGGGAGCGUUAGAGGGCAAAACACUCCAGAAAUGAAAUGAAUCUUUUGCUUUCCUCCCAUGCAGAGGCCAUACAGACCAAUACUGACACUGGGACUGGUGGCUUUUAAGUGGAGACGUUUUAUGUGUUCUUACUUGGAUCCCAGCAGGCUGUUUUAACCCUGGUUACAUUCGACUGUGAAAAAAAUUAUCAAAAUUAUCAAAACAAUUCACAUGAGCGAACAAUCGAAGGAAACGUCUUUUGGGAAUUAAGAUUCGUGAUUUUAGCACUUCAUUUCCCAUUUUAUUGUCACUGCCUGCAAGUUUUUAAAAUUCAUGCAAGGAAAGCACAAUUAUUCUUACAUUCAAUAAAUCUGUGAAAUAAAAAAAAUUGUACAUAAUAAUAUUAACCAAAUUCCAAUCAUUAUAAACACGUACCUUCUGAGUAAUGAAAUAAACAACUUCAGUCAACGAGGGCUGGCCUUGGACUAGUUCGGGAGUUAUUUAUCAAAUAGAAGCAGUUUGUUUCUUUCUUUGAUCAUUUUGUGAUUAUUUUGUGAGACAAACCACAACAUGACAUUUAAAAGUACAGUAGUACUGUGGUGUUAAAUAUUUGAAUCAAUGUGAUGUUUAAUCAAGAGUGGAAUACAAAAAAAUUGAAGAAAACAAUUUGUACAUCUUAUUCUAUAAUUGAAACGUAAUCGGUCUAUAAAACUAUCAGGUCUUACUGUUGAAGUUAUUAUACAGCCCGUAUGUCUGCUAUUUGCCUUGAGCUUUGUCUGUCUUGUCCGAGGGAAGAUACAAAAACAUUUCUAUACCAUUUGUCAAAGUUGUUCCUUUUCUUUUCUUGUAAUUUUCUUUAUCCUAAAUCUGUCUCCGUGCAUAGAUUAUUUAUUCCUUGUUUUCCCUUUGUGCAAAAUCGACGAGACCUGCUAUCAUACUUCACACCAUCGUUGAGCAAUCGUGAUUUUCUGUAACAAAGUCGCCACUGAGUCCAAAUCCCGACAUGUGGUGAACCCAGAACGCAUUCUGGUUAUCUUUUUGUUCAGUAAGAAGACGCACCCCUUUAUACAAUGAUCCUGGUGAACCACUUUUCUUUUUCAUGCAAAUUUGUUUUUGUUGUUUUAUUGGAAAAAAGGUCAGUCCAGUUGAACGCGCGGUUUUCCGGGGACGUAAAAAGCUGAUUGUAAGUGCUGAGUGAGUGAGAUCAAUUCUUGUGUCGGAUGACUGAAGCCAGUCCGUCAGUGAGUUUGACGAGAAAGAGUUGCCUGGUGCUAGCUGUGCUGGGUUGCCACCCGAACCGACGGGCGAGUGGGUACGUCCACUGCAGGUAAAGGGUUGGCCAGCUGAGAUUCUGAGGCCGUAGGCCAAAGUUUGAUAACACGUUCUUUAUACCACCGACACCCUGAGGAAUUGACUAGUCUCCACAUGGCUUGCGCCUGAAGUUUAAGUGCACGAUCCCCCGGAUUACCGUAAGUUUUAUGUCGUUCAUGUUGUUGAAUUUGUAUGAAGACUGAAUGUGCUCAAUUAUGUUAUAUUAUUGUGAUGUGUUUUCUGCCCUGCAAAAGUAUUUGGCCCAGAUUCAUCAAACGCAGAAUUCUGAAGGGUUGGUAGUUGAUUUGUAACGUCUUGUGUGGAUUUCGUUUCUAUUUAUUGAAAUCGAUCAAAACCCAUCAAAAAGGACAGAGAUUUGUUGAGCUUUCGGUCAUUUCAAUUUUUGUAGAUGAUCAUUGUUCCCAUGGAGGCAACCUGAUGACUCAGAGUAAGGCCUGAGAAAUCCUCCUGAGCUUGAUACUUGAGCUCACGCCAAAGCUGACCGUGUCUCAUAGUAACAGCAACAGAGACAGGACGGAUGUCACCCGCGUUUCUGCCUUGGUCUUCCAGUACCCGUCAGUUAUCGGACCAUCUGGGACACCUGCUCCUGAACUGGAGGGAAAAUGAUGAUGGAAACCACUCACGAUGCAGUACACGGAAAGACAAUGAAUGUAGAAAAAUUUAACUUUUGGACAAGAGAGAACUUCAGGGAUAUCUUCAAAAAAGAGGUCUGCCUGUAACUGGCAUAAAGGCGGAACUUGUUGCAUUGGCCUUUGCUCGUUGGACUAUGAAGGCUCCAGUUCAGCCUUCUAAUGAUGAGCGCCACACAAUCAGGGUGAAAGAGUACAACAUUUUGCUCACUUUAGAGGGAGUGCAGUUGCCUGAUCCACUGUGUGACCUUUUUGGGUGGUUGGGAGAGUCCGAGGUGGCCAUUGCCAUGAUCUCAGAUAUCAGUGACUUCCUUGCCUGGCACGACACUGAUGUGGAUAAGACGAGCCUUGGGGAAAGACUCCUUUGUGAUUACAAAAGGAAACUAUGCCCAAAAUGUACUGAUCCAGCAACCACCGUUGAGGGACAAAAGCAAGCUGGACCAACACUAGAAGAAAUUGAGCAGAAAUUAAGUGGUGCAGUAAGUUUAGGGCAUAUUCACUGGUACCCUUGGGACUUCUCUGGACACCUUAGGAACAAGUCGACUGGUAGCUCUAUUCAUCUGCCAAGAGUGACUAGGUUAGGCACCUGUUUGGUUGGUGCUGUGCCCUGAUGCCUGAUAUGCCAUCUUCACCAGUGGUCACAGGUGUGUUCUCUUGGUGGUCUUCUCAUCAUUGAGGUCAUCUGAGGGCACCUACUGGUACAUGGAAACUCCAAUGGCUAACAACAGCAAGGCUUUCAUUUCAUUGCAUGUUGAGAAAAGGUACCUGUGUUUGAUGGUUUGCACCGGAAACAGUACCCUGUGGACACUUGCCUGACCUGCAUGAUCUGCAUGAUCUGAAUAUCUGCUCAUUGUAUGGCACCAUAAGGACAGGCCCGUCAAGUCAGAUCAGUUGCUGCUCUCUGUUGCGGCCUGAACAUGAGUUUCUUGUCAAAGGCAAAAUCUUGGAUGGGAACACAAGUACAUGUACUGGGUGGAAAUCAAGAAACUGUUUCUACAAACCCUGUCGGAUACUGCCAAGGUGCUCAGAGCUGGAUCGCAUGUCCAAAGGAAUUAAGAUGAAAGUGGACUGCAUCAUUCCAACGUUUACUCAUGAUAUGGAAAGGUAUGACCUCUACACUGUGUUCCCAAUGGAUCAGUUAACUUAAGGCCUGUGAGGUGAGCUGAGUUGAAAGAGAAUGCUUGUUGCUUUUUCCAUUGCUGCAUUUCCAUCAGAUCAUGUAUAUGGACCUGUAAUAUACAUGUAACUGGUUUCUGUUAUAUUGCAUAACAUUCAAUUUUAUGCACUGUCUAAAGGGUAUAAAUCAAUCACAAUCUGGAGAAUUGUUUAAGAAAGCUAUUCAAGGUUAUUUUACCUGAGUAACUGUUGAAGUAAUUGUAAACUUGUCAAAAUAUUGUAAAGUAUUCUGUCUAAAUCUACCUUUGAAGCUGAGUUGAAGAGAAAGGAAGGUUGCUGCACCCAACACUGUUUUAAGGGGAGCAUAUUACGUACAUGUACAGUUGAACGCCGCUAUAACGAACACGACGGGGUCCACGCUAGAUGUUUGGUACAGUGGUCGUUCAGUAUAGCAAAUUUAACUGCAGAACCUUUCAUUGCCAUGUUGAAUAGCGCCCUCUCUUGUCUAACUGAAGUGCACCCUCUUGUGAUACUAUGGUUUGCUGUUUU